GCCAUGCCGCGUGCAGGAAGACGGCCCUAUGGGGUUGUAAACUGCUUUUAUACGGGAAGAAUAAGGACUACGUGUAGUCCGAUGACGGUACCGUAAGAAUAAGCACCGGCUAACUCCGUGCCAGCAACGGCGGUGACUGAGCGGGCUGGCAAGGCGCAUA
Molecule: ribosomal RNA, 160 nt
Filed under: uncultured bacterium
Lineage: Bacteria
Description: partial 16S ribosomal RNA
Rfam family: Bacterial small subunit ribosomal RNA
Source: RNAcentral